ACGUAGGGUGCAGGCGUUAAUCGGAAUUACUGGGCGUAAAGCGUGCGUAGGCGGUUUGUUAAGACAGGUGUGAAAUCCCCGGGCUUAACCUGGGAACUGCGCUUGUUACUGGCAGACUGGAGUGUGGCAGAGGGGGGUGGAAUUCCAGGUGUAGCAGUGAAAUGCGUAGAUAUCUGGAGGAACACCGGUGGCGAAGGCGGCAUCCUGGACCGGCAUUGACGCUGAGGCGCGAAAGCCAGGGGAGCAAACGGGA
This 253-nucleotide ribosomal RNA is filed under the name uncultured prokaryote. Its description in RNAcentral is "partial 16S ribosomal RNA". It matches the Rfam family "Bacterial small subunit ribosomal RNA", at positions 525 to 777 of the family's 1533-position model. The record is from RNAcentral.